This 379-nucleotide ribosomal RNA is filed under the name uncultured eukaryote. RNAcentral's name for it is "partial 18S ribosomal RNA". It matches the Rfam family "Eukaryotic small subunit ribosomal RNA", at positions 592 to 976 of the family's 1831-position model. The record is from RNAcentral.
CAAUAGCGUAUAUUUAAGUUGUUGCAGUUAAAAAGCUCGUAGUUGGAUUUCGGAUGGGAUUUGCCGGUCCGUCGUUACGAUGUGCACUGGCCAGUCCUAUCUUGUUGUCGGGGACUAGCUCCUUGGAUUCACUUCCUGGGACUAGGAGCUGACGAGGUUACUUUGAGUAAAUUAGAGUGUUCAAAGCAAGCCUACGCUCUGAAUACAUUAGCAUGGAAUAACACGAUAGGACUCUGGCUUAUCUUGUUGGUCUGUGAGACCAGAGUAAUGAUUAAGAGGGACAGUCGGGGACAUUCGUAUUUCAUUGUCAGAGGUGAAAUUCUUGGAUUUAUGGAAGACGAACUUCUGCGAAAGCAUUUGUCAAGGAUGUUUUCAUUAA